AUGGAAAUGGUGCAAUAGCCACCGGCACCACAGAUUUUUGGUGCUCCCUUGGCACUACGUCAUCUACACGCAGCCCUAGAGGAGCACCGUGAUGCCGCCCGCCAUGUGGUGCAAUUCUACUUAGAAGAUUCUAAUUAGAUUCUACUGGAGAGUCUACAUAGAAGAAAAAGGUGUGAAGUGUGGGGGUUGAUCUGAGAUCCAGGCUGUCUGUCUUUUCACAAAAGGAAAACGUUUCUCAUCAUAAAGACACCUUACCUCUCCAUCAGUC
Molecule: long non-coding RNA, 268 nt
Organism: Sceloporus undulatus (fence lizard)
Lineage: Eukaryota; Metazoa; Chordata; Lepidosauria; Squamata; Phrynosomatidae
Exons: 3
Source: RefSeq, a predicted model, not a curated record